CAUCCCUGGAUCAGAUGGGGACAAAGUGACACACACUGUGUCAUCUCUCUCUGCUGGAACAAAAUACUCGUUCACUCUCUUCACCGUGUUUGAGGAAGCUAAAAGCACAGGACAUGAUUUCUCAGCAGUGACAGCUCCCCCUGCUGUUACCGAGGUGAUUGUGAAAGAACGCUCUGAGACUCACAUAGAGCUAGAGUGGACCAAAGUCAACAACAUCAACACUUACAUACUGAGAUAUAGCAAUGAAACAGAGACCAACAUCACUGGAUUAGCUGGGAAUACAGUGACACACAGAGUGUCAUCUCUCUCUGCUGCAACAAAAUACUCGUUCACUCUCUUCACGGUGUUAGAGGAAUUGAGAAGCACAGGAUAUGAGUUCUCAGCAGUUACAGUUGUCUGCAGUCCGAACUCUUGUCCUCCAAACAGCAUAUGUGAGGAGCGUGCUGAUAACACAUUCACCUGUGUGUGUCCCGGUGGAUUCAUCUUUAAUGACAUUUUCUGUCAAAAAGCGAAAGUCUUCCCUGGGGAGCUGACCUUGA
This is a long non-coding RNA of Clupea harengus (Atlantic herring), 539 nucleotides long. RefSeq lists it as uncharacterized. The record is from RefSeq and is a predicted model, not a curated record. The transcript is spliced from 4 exons. Lineage: Eukaryota; Metazoa; Chordata; Actinopteri; Clupeiformes; Clupeidae.